CCUACGGGUGGCAGCAGUGGGGAAUAUUGCACAAUGGGGGAAACCCUGAUGCAGCGACGCCGCGUGAGUGAAGAAGUAUUUCGGUACGUAAAGCUCUAUUAGUAGGGAAGAAAAAAGACGGUACCUGACUUAGAAGCCCCGGCUAACUACGUGCCAGCAGCCGCGGUAAUACGUAGGGGGCAAGCGUUAUCCGGAUUUACUGGGUGUAAAGGGAGCGUAGACGGCGCGGCAAGUCUGAAGUGAAAGGCAAGGGCUGAACCCCUGAACUGCUUUGGAAACUGGCAUGCUAGAGUGCUGGAGAGGAAAGUGGAAUUCCUAGUGUAGCGGUGAAAUGCGUAGAUAUAAGGAGGAACACCAGUGGCGAAGGCGGCUUACUGGACAGUAACUGACGUUGAGGCGCGAAAGCGUGGGGAGCAAACAGGAUUAGAUACCCCUGUAGUC
Molecule: ribosomal RNA, 441 nt
Filed under: uncultured bacterium
Lineage: Bacteria
Description: partial 16S ribosomal RNA
Rfam family: Bacterial small subunit ribosomal RNA
Source: RNAcentral